This 492-nucleotide ribosomal RNA is filed under the name uncultured bacterium. RNAcentral describes it as "partial 16S ribosomal RNA". It matches the Rfam family "Bacterial small subunit ribosomal RNA", at positions 29 to 507 of the family's 1533-position model. The record is from RNAcentral.
AGUGAACGCUGGCGGUAGGCCUAACACAUGCAAGUCGAACGGCAGCACAGUAAGAGCUUGCUCUUACGGGUGGCGAGUGGCGGACGGGUGAGGAAUACAUCGGAAUCUACUUUUUCGUGGGGGAUAACGUAGGGAAACUUACGCUAAUACCGCAUACGACCUACGGGUGAAAGCAGGGGAUCUUCGGACCUUGCGCGAUUGAAUGAGCCGAUGUCGGAUUAGCUAGUUGGCGGGGUAACGGCCCACCAAGGCGACGAUCCGUAGCUGGUCUGAGAGGAUGAUCAGCCACACUGGAACUGAGACACGGUCCAGACUCCUACGGGAGGCAGCAGUGGGGAAUAUUGGACAAUGGGCGAAAGCCUGAUCCAGCAAUACCGCGUGGGUGAAGAAGGCCUUCGGGUUGUAAAGCCCUUUUGUUGGGAAAGAAAAGCAGCAGGUUAAUACCCCGCUGUUCUGACGGUACCCAAAGAAUAAGCACCGGCUAACUUCGUG